UAACGUGAGCGUCCUAAGGUAGCGCGAUAAUUUGCUUUUCAAUUGAAGGAUGGUAUGAAAGGGUUAACGAAGAAGGUGCUGUGUCUAAAAAUUCAAUUUAAACUAACUUUAAGGUGAAGAGGCCUUUAUGUAAAAGAAGGACGACAAGACCCUAUGAAGCUUUAUCUUAAUUGGAGCUCUCGGGCUCUUAUACGAUUUUGAUGGGAGAUCAGUAGAAAUAAGUCUUCUACUAUCAUAUUAAUCUUACUAGUAUUUCCUAACUUUAUAUGUGUGGCUAGCUACUCUAGGGAUAACAGCGCAAUUUCUCCCGAAAGAUGGUAUUGGAGGGGAAGAUUGCGACCUCGAUGUUGGCUUUAGAUAUCCUAGAGGCGUAGAAGCUUCU
RNAcentral lists this ribosomal RNA (382 nucleotides) under Mytilus galloprovincialis (Mediterranean mussel). RNAcentral describes it as "partial 16S ribosomal RNA". It matches the Rfam family "Bacterial large subunit ribosomal RNA", at positions 1937 to 2566 of the family's 2925-position model. Lineage: Eukaryota; Metazoa; Mollusca; Bivalvia; Mytilida; Mytilidae. The record is from RNAcentral.